UCUAGCUCAGUUGGUAGAGCAUCAGUUUUGUAAACUGACGGUCGCAGGUUCGACUCCUGU
RNAcentral lists this transfer RNA (60 nucleotides) under marine eukaryotic metagenome. It matches the Rfam family "tRNA", at positions 8 to 63 of the family's 71-position model. From Rfam's summary of the family: Transfer RNA (tRNA) molecules are approximately 80 nucleotides in length. Their secondary structure includes four short double-helical elements and three loops (D, anti-codon, and T loops). The record is from RNAcentral.